CCUACGGGUGACAGCAGUGAGGAAUAUUGGUCAAUGGACGAGAGUCUGAACCAGCCAAGUAGCGUGAAGGAUGACUGCCCUAUGGGUUGUAAACUUCUUUUAUAUGGGAAUAAAACAGGGUAUGCAUACCCUCUUGUAUGUACCAUAUGAAUAAGGCUCGGCUAACCCCGUGCCAGCAGUCGCGGUAAUACGGAGGGUCCGAGUGUUAUCCCGAUUUAUUGGGUUUAAAGGGAGCGUAGGUGGAUUGUUAAGUCAGUUGUGAAAGUUUGCGGCUCAACCGUAAAAGUGCAGUUGAAACUGGCAGUCUUGAGUGCAGUAGAGGUGGGCGGAAUGCGUGGUGUAGCGGUGAAAUGCUUAGAUAUCACGAAGAACUCCGAUUGCGAAGGCAGAUCACUGGACUGCAACUGACACUGAUGCUCGAAAGUGUGGGUAUCAAACAGGAUUAGAUACCCGUGUAGUC
This 460-nucleotide ribosomal RNA is filed under the name uncultured bacterium. RNAcentral's name for it is "partial 16S ribosomal RNA". It matches the Rfam family "Bacterial small subunit ribosomal RNA", at positions 338 to 795 of the family's 1533-position model. The record is from RNAcentral.